GACGGUGACUGAAGGCGAUUAGAUCUGCCAAUCUGGUCAGGACCGAAAGGAAGCAGCCACAGUAGAUUCUGUUGGGUUUCAGUCACUUUUGCU
Molecule: signal recognition particle RNA, 93 nt
Filed under: Rickettsiales endosymbiont of Peranema trichophorum
Lineage: Bacteria; Pseudomonadati; Pseudomonadota; Alphaproteobacteria; Rickettsiales
Description: Bacterial small signal recognition particle RNA
Rfam family: Bacterial small signal recognition particle RNA
About the family: The signal recognition particle (SRP) is a universally conserved ribonucleoprotein involved in the co-translational targeting of proteins to membranes. Archaeal SRP consists of a 7S RNA and homologues of the eukaryotic SRP19 and SRP54 proteins. In most bacteria, the SRP consists of a 4.5S RNA and the Ffh protein (a homologue of the eukaryotic SRP54 protein).
Source: Rfam by way of RNAcentral